RNAcentral lists this long non-coding RNA (319 nucleotides) under Musa acuminata (dwarf banana). RNAcentral describes it as "long non-coding RNA (MACU_LNC001092)". Lineage: Eukaryota; Viridiplantae; Streptophyta; Magnoliopsida; Zingiberales; Musaceae. The record is from RNAcentral.
GGGAGGCAGGUGCGUCGCCGGAGGGACUGGGAAGGUGAGGACCGCCCGGGAGGAUGCCGUGGCCGAGGUGACAGGCGCCGGCGGAAGAGAGGGAGGAGGAGGAAAGGGGCCGAGGAGGGCAGGCGGUGGCGGUGGAGAUGGCGGACGCGAGGGAGAUGGGCAUGAGGCAGAGGCCCUUCCCCUGGAGGUACUGCAUCGCCGACCCCAUGUCCUCCUCCAUCAGCUUUGCCACUUGGUGCUCCGUCACCGUCAGGGUGUCGCCGCUGCUGUUUGCUCCGCCACUUCCCGCCCCGCUCUGUCCCUGUUCAAUUCUCCCACC